This is a long non-coding RNA of Mesocricetus auratus (golden hamster), 1183 nucleotides long. RefSeq lists it as uncharacterized. The record is from RefSeq and is a predicted model, not a curated record. Lineage: Eukaryota; Metazoa; Chordata; Mammalia; Rodentia; Cricetidae. The transcript has 3 exons.
GAUGUAGGAUGUAGGCCGACAACCAGAAAAACCAAUCCACCUUUACAAAGUUGGAAGUCUCAGGCUCUCUCUCCCCUGACCUCCAAGAAAGGAAGGAAGCUGAACUUCGGGUUAAUUCGCCAAGUGCCUGUGGCCUAGAACGUCUACCCAGUAACGCCUUGUACAAAGACCCUUCAACAGCAGGCUCCCGGGCUUCUGAGAGGAUCAGGCGCACUGCAGUGCAGGGUGAGUGACAGGCCAGGAGAGGGUAAUGGAGGCUCUGUGUCACCUGCACCAUCUCCUACACUGAGUAGCCCCCCAUCUGCUCCUCCCCGAAGUUCUUCUAAAUGAGCUGGUGGUAAUAAGAAAAAAACACCUUCCUGCCUUCCAGCGUUCUGUGGGCUGCUCUACCACGCCAGGCCCCAGGAAAUGGAGGAGGCUUGAAGGAACCCCCUGUGUUGUUAAAAUGUCUAGGUUCCCGGUCAGGGAGCCAAUGUUGUUGAAAUGUCUGGGUUUACCCAGUAAGGAGACGCAAACCGACUCAAGCCAGAGAGGGGGAGGUGUUGCUUUUUUGCGUUCCCUGUUGCAUACACAAGACCUGCAGUUAGGUACAUGAACCUUGGAGACGGUGUUCAAUCAGCAUUAAAUCAAGUCAGCACACACAUUCAUUGACCGUGGCACGCUGGGCUUCCAGAACAACCCUGGAUGUAGCUGUGGCUACCACUAAAGGUGCAAAGUAGAUGUAGUUCUGCCCGCGACCAAAGAAACAAGACGCCCAGCACAAGCUUUCAGUCAUGCCAAACCCAGACACAGCGAAGCCCAGCAGCACUGUCUGGAUAACCCGCCCCGACCAGCCCUUCCUCGGCAGUGCCAGCAAGGCUGAGCAGCCCAGCUCUGGAAGGGGCAGCGAGCAGAGCCCUGGAGAUCAUCGGCACCGCCACGUGUCCUUGGAAUGGCAUCCGUUAAAGGACUUCUCCUUCUGUGGCAUCCAUCUGCCUAAAGCAAAGCCAGGUUGCUCCUGGAGGUCUUCCCGUCCCUCAGCUGCCUGUCAACCUCAGCAGCCUGGCGCUUUCAUCUGGUGACAGUGGCUCACCAGAAAGGACCACAGUCAGUCGGGAUUAAAAAGCACAGAACGCACCAGACAGACAGGUUCCACACACCCCAAGUCGCUGUUACGUAAAUAAAAUACUUUCUCUAAACAGAA